AGAGUUUGAUCAUGGCUCAGAACGAACGCUGGCGGCAGGCUUAACACAUGCAAGUCGAACGCAUCCUUCGGGGUGAGUGGCAGACGGGUGAGUAACGCGUGGGAACGUGCCCUUCAGUUCGGAAUAACCCAGGGAAACUUGGGCUAAUACCGGAUACGUGCGAGAGCAGAAAGAUUUAUCGCUGAAGGAUCGGCCCGCGUCUGAUUAGCUAGUUGGUAGGGUAAUGGCCUACCAAGGCGACGAUCAGUAGCUGGUCUGAGAGGAUGAUCAGCCACAUUGGGACUGAGACACGGCCCAAACUCCUACGGGAGGCAGCAGUGGGGAAUAUUGGACAAUGGGCGCAAGCCUGAUCCAGCCAUGCCGCGUGAGUGAUGAAGGCCUUAGGGUUGUAAAGCUCUUUCGUCCGGGACGAUAAUGACGGUACCGGAAGAAGAAGCCCCGGCUAACUUCGUGCCAGCAGCCGCGGCAAUACGAAGGGGGCUAGCGUUGUUCGGAAUCACUGGGCGUAAAGGGCGCGUAGGCGGCUUGAUAAGUCGGGGGUGAAAGCCUGUGGCUCAACCACAGAAUUGCCUUCGAUACUGUCUGGCUUGAGACCGGAAGAGGUAAGUGGAACUGCGAGUGUAGAGGUGAAAUUCGUAGAUAUUCGCAAGAACACCAGUGGCGAAGGCGGCUUACUGGUCCGGUUCUGACGCUGAGCGCGAAAGCGUGGGGAGCAAACAGGAUUAGAUACCCUAGUAGUCC
This 741-nucleotide ribosomal RNA is filed under the name uncultured bacterium. RNAcentral's name for it is "bacterial SSU rRNA". It matches the Rfam family "Bacterial small subunit ribosomal RNA", at positions 8 to 796 of the family's 1533-position model. The record is from RNAcentral.